CCUUUUGCAGCAGCUUUAGUGUUGAGUGUGAAAUAUCCAUUUUUGCAACAAUAGACCAAUUGACAAAGGAAUUUGGAGGGAAUGUUUUAAACAACAUUUUUGACUUAUCAGCUAUGUUGAAACUAGUUAGGAGGAGAACAUAUCAAAAGUCCCCAUUUUAUGAUGCAUUUUUGGAGAGCUAUGACCCAUGAAAGAGCAAAACAUUGGAUAAAAACCUGCUAUUUUAAGAAUUACACACCUUCAAGAGCGAAUAUCUGGGGAACUGUUGGGAAUAUCACAAAAUUUCACUAAACAAAAAGUGUAGAGAAUGUAUCAAGCUUCAUUUUUGAAUAGUUAGUUAUGUCGGUUGAAUGCAUUGUUUUCAAGAUAUGAGCGUGGAAGCAAAACGCUGAAAAAUGCAACUUUUAAACCUUUUUUAGGUGGUUUGGUUUGAAUCAUCAUGACUGGCUUUCUGAUGAACCUAUGCGACGCCAUUAAGGAAUGGCUUACUACUGUAUGGUCGACUGGAUCUGUACUUCCUGUAUUUACUGAUCCGGAGACCACUGAAUAGUAUCGUGUUGCACAGAGGUUAAGAGUGCGUUGCAAGCAUCUGUAUGCUUUAACCAGUCGUCUGAAACAACCAUAAUCUUUUAGGGGUGUAAAUGGAGAUCGAAGUGUAAAAUUCGCCUUGCUUUUCUGGACGAUAUUCCAAGUGGAGCUGGAUGUUUCCGCACAGAGCGCGAUAGGGAUUGUUCAAUGGACGCCCUCACUGCCGCGAUAUUUUCAGGUACCCCACCUUUUUUAGGUUGCCCAGCUUGUUUUCUAGGAAGUGCAGAUCCUUUCGACCAGAUCAGGAACUGUCAUGAAGAUUCAAACCAAACCGCCUACAAAAAGCAUCUGCGUCGCUACCACAUUGUCAUUGUUUUUAAAGAACGUUCCAACAAUAAAGCCUCGAUGCUCACCUUAACACUGCAUGAUGAACAUGAAUACUUAAAAUGACAUAGUUUCCGCCAUAUAACACCACCACUCUUAUUCCACUAUUCACCUGCGCACUCUUCACUGAUUUGAAAGUAGGGAGUCCAUUCUGACCAAACUUUUAGGCUUAUCAAAACAGGGAAUAUGUCGGCCAUGAUAGCUAAGACAAGUAAGGCUGCACUCUUUAGUCAGCUAGUGCUCUAUACGAUACGUGCAAAAUGGAUGCAACCCUUAGAAAUAAAAAUCAAUAUAAAUUUCAUGUGGAUUGAGAGUAGAUUAAUCUCUAGUAUGAUGCAUUCAAUCUUUUUAAUUAUUACUUCUUCUACUUAACUCGUUCUUCUACUAAUACGUUUUUCUUUUUAGAAAUAAAAAUGCCAUUUAUGUCUGCCUGUCACCACAUAGAAAGCUUUCCGAAAGACACAAUUCCUUGGUGAACCUAUUGUACUGCAUCAUAAAAGCGGAAGAAGGAGGUGAAAUCAACUUGCCGACUGUUUAGCUGUGGUAAAAGCUAUCAAAUCCAUGAAUCCAGGAACCUAUUCAAUUCUCAAGAACAUCUCUGUCAUAAUGUGGUCGGACCCGUUCACCAAGGAAGGUCGCAGUAAUCAAAGCAUUCAUUUUACUCCUAUUAUCAAGUAAUUGAAAAGCUUUGAGGAUCGAAAUAAUUUCUUGAAAUAUGUUAACUAUUUCAUGAUUCAAUGUGAUUUCUUGACUAUUGACAUUUUAAAUUAUGGGACAUCAUGCAAUUUUAGGCAUUUGCCUGAUGCAAAUGGUUGAGCAUUGCCCAUAUAUUGUGAUGAAGAAAAAUUUGUUUCAAAUCACUUCAAUGAAUAUUAAGAUUCAAGCAUUCUGAUUAUACAGAUUCAAGCAUGGGAAGCGGACAAAUUCUGACAUUUUACAACAUUUUACAGGCACAUAGAAGACUGGCUUAUGAUGGCGAAAGACUUUUGAAGGCGGUUACCUUGAUUGGGAUCAUAUCUAUUAAACCUUCGAAUCCUGCACUCAAAAGUAAAUGUGAUACCAUUCAAAUGGAAUAAGAUUGAUUUGAAUUGGAAUUUGUUAUUCCUGUAUCAUAGUGCAUUUUUCUACUAGUUACCCUACGUAUUGUACAUUAUUGUAAUAAAGCACUAGCUGUUCCAUAGUAGAAGUCUUUGAAAUAAAAGGUUUCUUUUUCAAGUUA
Molecule: long non-coding RNA, 2131 nt
Organism: Nilaparvata lugens (brown planthopper)
Lineage: Eukaryota; Metazoa; Arthropoda; Insecta; Hemiptera; Delphacidae
Exons: 3
Source: RefSeq, a predicted model, not a curated record